CAGUCGAACGAAGCACUCUAUUUGAUUUUCUUCGGAAAUGAAGAUUUUGUGACUGAUUGGCGGACGGGUGAGUAACGCGUGGGUAACCUGCCUCAUACAGGGGGAUAACAGUUGGAAACGGCUGCUAAUACCGCAUAAGCGCACAGGAUCGCAUGAUCUGGUGUGAAAAACUCCGGUGGUAUGAGAUGGACCCGCGUCUGAUUAGCCAGUUGGCAGGGUAACGGCCUACCAAAGCGACGAUCAGUAGCCGACCUGAGAGGGUGACCGGCCACAUUGGGACUGAGACACGGCCCAAACUCCUACGGGAGGCAGCAGUGGGGAAUAUUGCACAAUGGGGGAAACCCUGAUGCAGCGACGCCGCGUGAGCGAAGAAGUAUUUCGGUAUGUAAAGCUCUAUCAGCAGGGAAGAAGAAUGACGGUACCUGACUAAGAAGCACCGGCUAAAUACGUGCCAGCAGCCGCGGUAAUACGUAUGGUGCAAGCGUUAUCCGGAUUUACUGGGUGUAAAGGGAGCGCAGGCGGUGCGGCAAGUCUGAUGUGAAAGCCCGGGGCUCAACCCCGGUACUGCAUUGGAAACUGUCGUACUAGAGUGUCGGAGGGGUAAGUGGAAUUCCUAGUGUAGCGGUGAAAUGCGUAGAUAUUAGGAGGAACACCAGUGGCGAAGGCGGCUUACUGGACGAUAACUGACGCUGAGGCUCGAAAGCGUGGGGAGCAAACAGGAUUAGAUACCCUGGUAGUCCACGCCGUANACGAUGAAUACUAGGUGUCGGGGANCAUUGCUCUUC
RNAcentral lists this ribosomal RNA (785 nucleotides) under uncultured bacterium. RNAcentral's name for it is "bacterial SSU rRNA". It matches the Rfam family "Bacterial small subunit ribosomal RNA", at positions 59 to 841 of the family's 1533-position model. The record is from RNAcentral.